RNAcentral lists this ribosomal RNA (253 nucleotides) under uncultured bacterium. RNAcentral's name for it is "partial 16S ribosomal RNA". It matches the Rfam family "Bacterial small subunit ribosomal RNA", at positions 524 to 776 of the family's 1533-position model. The record is from RNAcentral.
UACGGAGGGUGCGAGCGUUGUCCGGAAUCACUGGGCGUAAAGGGCGCGUAGGCGGCAUGCCAAGCGUGUGGUGAAAGCCCGGGGCUCAACCCCGGGUCGGCCGUGCGGACUGGCGUGCUCGAGCACUGUAGGGGAGAUCGGAAUUCCUGGUGUAGCGGUGAAAUGCGCAGAUAUCAGGAGGAACACCGGUGGCGAAGGCGGAUCUCUGGGCCAUUACUGACGCUGAGGAGCGAAAGCGUGGGGAGCGAACAGG